RNAcentral lists this unclassified non-coding RNA (362 nucleotides) under uncultured bacterium. RNAcentral describes it as "contains 16S-23S intergenic spacer region". The record is from RNAcentral.
UCCCCGUUACCGGGGCAGUCUGAAUAGAAAAAUACAACUAUUCAUAAGGGUUGCGCUCGUUGAUGGACUUAACCAAACAUCUCACGACACGAGCUGACGACGGCCAUGCAUCACCUGUCAUUAGGUUCUAAAAGCACUCACUUCUUUCGAAGUAAUUCCUAAGAUGUCAAACCCUGGUAAGGUUCUUCGCUUACCAUCGAAUUAAACAACACGCUCCACCGCUUGUGCGGCUCCCCGUCAAUUCCUUUAUGCUUUAGCCUUGCGGCCGUACUCCACAGGCGGGAUGCUUAACGCGUUAGCUUUGCUACCGAAGGGGUCGAUACCUCCAACAGCUAGCAUCCAUCGUUUACGGCGUGGACUAC